Molecule: ribosomal RNA, 112 nt
Filed under: Phocaeicola vulgatus
Lineage: Bacteria; Pseudomonadati; Bacteroidota; Bacteroidia; Bacteroidales; Bacteroidaceae
Also listed under: 1 other name
Source: RNAcentral
UGUGGUAUUUAUAAAGCAAAGGAAACACCUCUUCCCAUUCCGAACAGAGAAGUUAAGCUUUGCAUUGCCAAUGGUACUGUUAUUAUAAUGGGAGAGUAGGUUAAUACCUUGC